Molecule: ribosomal RNA, 1433 nt
Filed under: uncultured bacterium
Lineage: Bacteria
Description: bacterial SSU rRNA
Rfam family: Bacterial small subunit ribosomal RNA
Source: RNAcentral
AGAGUUUGAUUAUGGCUCAGAACGUACGCUGGCGGCACGCCUAACACAUGCAAGUCGAACGAAGUAGCAAUACUUAGUGGCAGACGGGUGAGUAACAUGUAGGUAUCUGCCCUUUGGCCUGGAAUAACACGAGGAAACUUGUGCUAAUACCGGAUAAGUCUUUACGGAGAAAGCUUUAUGCACCAUUGGAUGAGCCUGCACUUGAUUAGUUUGUUGGUGGGGUAAUGGCCUACCAAGACUAUGAUCAAUAGCUGAUUUGAGAGGAUGAUCAGCCACAUUGGGACUGAGACACGGCCCAAACUCCUACGGGAGGCAGCAGUGGGGAAUCUUGCACAAUGGAGGAAACUCUGAUGCAGCGAUGCCGCGUGAGUGAAGAAGGCCCUUGGGUUGUAAAGCUCUUUCGUCGGGGAAGAAAAUGACUGUACCCGAAUAAGAAGGUCCGGCUAACUUCGUGCCAGCAGCCGCGGUAAUACGAAGGGACCUAGCGUAGUUCGGAAUUACUGGGCUUAAAGAGUUCGUAGGUGGUUGAAAAAGUUGGUGGUGAAAUCCCAGAGCUUAACUCUGGAACUGCCAUCAAAACUUUUCAGCUAGAGUAUGAUAGAGGAAAGCAGAAUUUCUAGUGUAGAGGUGAAAUUCGUAGAUAUUAGAAAGAAUACCAAUUGCGAAGGCAGCUUUCUGGAUCAUUACUGACACUGAGGAACGAAAGCAUGGGUAGCGAAGAGGAUUAGAUACCCUCGUAGUCCAUGCCGUAAACGAUGUGUGUUAGACGUUGGAAAUUUAUUUUCAGUGUCGCAGCGAAAGCAAUAAACACACCGCCUGGGGAGUACGACCGCAAGGUUAAAACUCAAAUGAAUUGACGGGGACCCGCACAAGUAGUGGAGCAUGUGGUUUAAUUCGAAGAUACGCGCAGAACCUUACCAACACUUGACAUGUUCGUCGCGACUCUAAGAGAUUAGAGUUUUCGGUUCGGCCGGACGAAACACAGGUGCUGCAUGGCUGUCGUCAGCUCGUGUCGUGAGAUGUUGGGUUAAGUCCCGCAACGAGCGCAACCCUCACUUUUAGUUGCCAUCAUUAAGUUGGGCACUCUGAAAGAACUGCCAGUGAUAAGCUGGAGGAAGGUGGGGAUGACGUCAAGUCCUCAUGGCCCUUACGUGUUGGGCUACACACGUGCUACAAUGGCAUCUACAACAGGAAGCAAAACGGCAACGUUAAGCAAAUCCCGAAAAGAUGCCUCAGUUCGGAUUGCACUCUGCAACUCGAGUGCAUGAAGCUGGAAUUACUAGUAAUCGUGGAUCAGCGUGCCACGGUGAAUGCGUUCCCGGGUCUUGUACACACCGCCCGUCACACCAUGGGAGUUGGUUCUACCUUAAGGCAAGGUUUUAAACCCUUGACCACGGUAUAGUCAGCGACUGGGGUGAAGUCGUAACAAGGUA